AUACGGAGGAUCCGAGCGUUAUCCGGAUUUAUUGGGUUUAAAGGGUGCGCAGGCGGCCAUUUAAGUCAGCGGUUAAAUCGUGGGGCUCAACCCCAUUCUGCCGUUGAUACUGGGUGGCUUGAUUGCGGUCGAGGUUGGCGGAAUUCGUUGUGUAGCGGUGAAAUGCAUAGAUAUGACGAAGAACACCGAUUGCGUAGGCAGCUGACCAGACCGCAAAUGACGCGCAUGCACGAAAGUGCGGGGAUCGAACAGGAUUAGAUACCCUGGUAGUCCGCACAGUAAACGAUGAAUACUCGCUGGUUGCGAUACACUGUAAGCGGCCAAGCGAAAGCGUUAAGUAUUCCACCUGGGGAGUACGCCGGCAACGGUGAAACUCAAAUGAAUUGACGGGG
This 392-nucleotide ribosomal RNA is filed under the name uncultured bacterium. Its description in RNAcentral is "partial 16S ribosomal RNA". It matches the Rfam family "Bacterial small subunit ribosomal RNA", at positions 523 to 918 of the family's 1533-position model. The record is from RNAcentral.